This 1343-nucleotide unclassified non-coding RNA is filed under the name Hevea brasiliensis (rubber tree). Lineage: Eukaryota; Viridiplantae; Streptophyta; Magnoliopsida; Malpighiales; Euphorbiaceae. The record is from RNAcentral.
AGCAGAAAAAAGGGCAUACAAGCAAAAGCUAUUAGAGAGACUAUAAUAAAAUCUAUAUAAUUUGAUGCAAAAUUCACUAAGCGAUUGAUUCCCACUCUCUCAUUGUGAUAGAUACCCAAACUCACACCCCCUACCAAAAAAAAAAAAAGACUUCUUUCUCUCUCUGCGUAUAUUUCUUUCUCCCUGCAACUCUCCCCUUCUUGUUCUCUCUCAAUGACCAACUCAUAGAGAGAGAGGUAGCGAUGAAGAACACCAUUAAAUGCUGUAUCUCUUGCAUUCUACCAUGUGGAGCUCUAGACGUGAUUCGAAUAGUACACUGUAAUGGUCGGGUAGAAGAAAUUAGUGGCACAAUCCAAGCAAGCGAGAUCAUGAAAGCAUACCCAAAGCACGUCUUGAAAAAGCCCUCUUCUCCCUGCGAUGAUGGGGUGGUUCCAAAGAUCGUUGUAGUCCCACCUGAUGCUGAGCUUCAGCGUGGAAAGAUCUAUUUUCUCAUUCCACUCCCAUCAACCCCAGAGAAUAAGAAGCCUCCUCGAUCAAGAAAUUCCAGCACCAACAGAAGGAAAAGAAGAGAGAAUAAUAGCAACAACAAUAGUGAAAGCAACAACUUGAGCAAUAACGUCGUCAGCAACUCCAUUUCAAUGUCCACAAACCUUCUCAUUUCUGAUCGGUACCUGAGUGAGAUACUUUCAGAGAAGCUAUCAACUCAGAGAGAUCGAAGGAGAGGUCGUGUUGGGGUGUGGAGACCACACUUAGAGAGCAUAUCUGAGACCCCAAAUGAUGCUUAAAGGAGGUUCUUGAUGAGUUUGUAAUGAGCCAUAUAUGAUUUUUCUUUUUCUUUGCGAUUCAUUCCUGCGGUUCUUAUCCAUUAGGGUUCAAGAACUCCAUCCCUAUUAUUCAUUUUCCUUUUCUUUUCCCUACCCUUCUCUUCUUUCUUUCAUUUUUUUUUUUUUUGAAUUUCCCCUUUUUGUGUAUAUAGAGGCAUAGAGAAAAAUGGCAAAUAAUGCAGAAGAUGAGUCAAGGUUUGGAAAUUGAUGUUGGUGAUGAUGAUGAUAUUAAACAGUUGUGGCAGGAUCUUGCUACUCCAUGUAUCAUCAAGCCAUAAGUAAUUGCUUUGAGAGCUUCUUUAAUAUUCAAGUGUGGCUUUUAAUUAGUACAGAAAUUCAUGAAGAGAAAGCAAUAUAAUUUUUGUAAUCUUUUUGAGAGAGAAACACAUGUGCAAAAUUUUUUUUUCUUAAUCUGUUUGUAAGAAAUAAGGAAUAGAUAUUGUUACUGAGAAUGGUCACAUUUCUACUGUGUGAAGUACCAAACAUUGUUUCAAUAAGAAUUGAAAAAUGAUUGUGCAA